AGAGUUUGAUCCUGGCUCAGAGCGACGCUGGCGGCAGGCCUAAUACAUGCAAGUCGAGCGGGUCCUUCGGGAUUAGCGGCGGACGGGUGAGUAACGCGUGGGAACGUGCCCUUUGGUACGGAACAACUGAGGGAAACUUCAGCUAAUACCGUAUGUGCCCUUCGGGGGAAAGAUUUAUCGCCAUUGGAGCGGCCCGCGUUGGAUUAGGUAGUUGGUGAGGUAAAGGCUCACCAAGCCUACGAUCCAUAGCUGGUCUGAGAGGAUGACCAGCCACACUGGGACUGAGACACGGCCCAGACUCCUACGGGAGGCAGCAGUAGGGAAUCUUGCGCAAUGGGCGAAAGCCUGACGCAGCCAUGCCGCGUGAAUGAUGAAGGUCUUAGGAUUGUAAAAUUCUUUCACCGGGGACGAUAAUGACGGUACCCGGAGAAGAAGCCCCGGCUAACUUCGUG
Molecule: ribosomal RNA, 452 nt
Filed under: uncultured bacterium
Lineage: Bacteria
Description: bacterial SSU rRNA
Rfam family: Bacterial small subunit ribosomal RNA
Source: RNAcentral